GACGACGCUGGCGGCGCGCCUAACACAUGCAAGUCGAACGGAGCAAAUUAGUUACUAAGGUGCUUAGUGGCGGACGGGUGAGUAACACGUGAGUAACCUGCCUUUCAGAGCGGAAUAACGUUUGGAAACGAACGCUAAUACCGCAUAACGUAUAAUUGUGGCAUCACAGAGAUACCAAAGGAGCAAUCCGCUGAGAGAUGGACUCGCGGCCGAUUAGAUAGUUGGCGGGUAAUGGCCCACCAAGUCGACGAUCGGUAGCCGGACUGAGAGGUUGAACGGCCACAUUGGGACUGAGACACGGCCCAGACUCCUACGGGAGGCAGCAGUGGGGGAUAUUGCACAAUGGGGGAAACCCUGAUGCAGCGACGCCGCGUGAGGGAAGACGGUCUUCGGAUUGUAAACCUCUGUCUUCGGGGACGAAUAAAUGACGGUACCCGAGGAGGAAGCCACGGCUAACUACGUG
This 463-nucleotide ribosomal RNA is filed under the name uncultured bacterium. RNAcentral describes it as "bacterial SSU rRNA". It matches the Rfam family "Bacterial small subunit ribosomal RNA", at positions 33 to 507 of the family's 1533-position model. The record is from RNAcentral.